AUGACGUCAUGGGCGGCGGCGUGGAGCCCAACGGCUCGGAGCAGGUGUCCGGGUACCGGGGUGCGCCCCCGCCUCCCCCUGCUUGGGCGGUGGGGGCACGGACACGGGCACAGCCACACAGACACGGACACAAAAACACACACACAUGUACAAACACACAGACACGGACACAGAAACACACACACAUGUACAAACACACACACAGAGAGACACACAGACACGGACACAGAAACACGCACACGUGUACAAACACACACAGACACACAGACACGGACAGAGAAACACACACACACAGACACGGAAACACGCACAUGUACGAACACAGACACGUACAGACACAGACACGGACACAGAAACACACACACACAGACACGGAAACACGCACACAUGUACGAACACAGACACGUACAGACACACAGACACGGACACACCAACAGAGACACACAGACGGUGACAAAAGCACGGACAAGGACGCGCGGGCAGGGACACGCGGACACGCGGACACGGACACACAAGCACACAGACGCGGACACACGGACACACAGCUGCGGGUGCUGUUUGGGGCCCGCUGCUCGCCCCCCCGCUGCUCCCUGCCCCGGCUGCGGGUGGCGGCGCCCCGAGCCCGUCCCCGCACCCAGCCCUGCCGGGGGGUCCCAGCGCUCCGGGCGCGGGGCCGGGCAGGGCGCCGGGGGGCUCAGGGACCGCGGCUCCGCUCCCCGCCUCGGCCCCCGCCCGCCCCGGAGCCCCCCCGGGCUGAGCACUGCACGCGUGUGCGCAGCGCGCCCAGCUCGGGCUGCAGCGGGGGUUGCGUGUGCGUGGGUGCACGCAUCCGUCCGUCUGUCCGUCCCUCCGUCCGUCCGUCCGUCCGUCUGCCCGUGCGCAACCCGCCGCGCCCCAGCGAGCCCCCCCCGCUCCUCGUUAAUAAGGUGUCUCCUUUAUUCAAAAUAUAUACACGCGGGGCGGCCCGGGCCUCGCGGACGGACCGACGGGACAGUCACGAUAGNNNNNNNNNNNNNNNNNNNNUGUCCCGCGGCCCCGCGGCCGCUCCGUCCCCCGCUGGCCCGGCCCGGCGGAGCGUUCCGGGGCUCCGGUCCGGCCUCUCCUCGCCGGCGGCUCGCCCCCGGUCGUGCGUCCCGGAGCCGCUGCCGCAGGGCCCGCACCGCGCCGCGGCGGGGCCGGGCUGGCCCCCGACCGGCCCGCGCUGCCGGCUGUCCUUUCGCUUCAGCGGUUUUAGGAACUCCCGCUCCCCGCGGGCCCGUCCCGGGGCCCGCCCUCAGAGCGUUCCGGUUACCGGCGGGCCGGUGCCCCGCGGCCGGUUUGCGGUGUGAGUCGGUUCCGGCCGCGCCGAAGCUCCGAGGCCCCGACAGACCGCGCUCAGCGGCUCCUCCCGGUAAAGCGCUUCUGCGAAAUGCGCGGAUCCGUGUCCGGCAGCGGCCGGUCUGCUCCGCGCUCGGUAACGGCUUCCCACCGGCGGCGCCGUCACGCUCCCGCUCCCGGUCCCGGUCCUGGUCCCGCUCCGCCCGCGGCUCCGCCCGGCCGCUGAAGCCUUUCUGCUGCCGGCGGCACCGACCCGCCGCGCUCGGUAGUGCGGCUCCCGAGGCCCGGCUCGGCGGCGGCUCGCCCCGUGCGGCUCCCGCUAACGUUUCGCCGUAG
Molecule: long non-coding RNA, 1653 nt
Organism: Anser cygnoides (Swan goose)
Lineage: Eukaryota; Metazoa; Chordata; Aves; Anseriformes; Anatidae
Source: Ensembl